Oncorhynchus gorbuscha (pink salmon) is the source of this 837-nucleotide long non-coding RNA. RefSeq lists it as uncharacterized. NCBI's taxonomy places the organism in Eukaryota, Metazoa, Chordata, Actinopteri, Salmoniformes, Salmonidae. The record is from RefSeq and is a predicted model, not a curated record. The transcript has 3 exons.
CUACUGGCUCCCCUGUCUAUGCCUGAUUCGGAAUUACCCCUCUGAGCUAAAACACAACAUCUCAUCCUAGACCUAGAAUAGAAAUGAUUACAUUCCAAGAGUGUUGGAGGGUGUAACGGUCAUCAUCGGUGGAAGAAGAAGAGGACCAAGGUGCAGCGUGGUAUGUGUGAUGCAUUGUUGUGGAGCACAGCAGUGUGACAGAUCAUGUUCCCAGGCAGGGCUGCUGUAGAGAAGAAGAGGUCUACUGCGCUGCUACAGAGAAGAAGAGGUCUACUGCGCUGCUAUAGAGAAGAAGAGGUAUACUGUGUUGCUUUAGGGAAGAUGUCUACUGCGCUGCUAUAGAGAAGAAGAGGUCUACUGUGCUGCUAUAGAGAAGAAGAGGUCUACUGCGCUGCUACAGAGAAGAAGAGGUCUACUGCGCUGCUAUAGAGAAGAAGAGGUAUACUGUGUUGCUUUAGGGAAGAUGUCUACUGCGCUGCUGUAGAGAAGAAGAGGUCUACUGUGCUGCUAUAGAGAAGAAGAGGUCUACCGUGCUGCUAUAGAGAAGAAGAGGUCUACUGCGCUGCUACAGAGAAUAAGAGGUCUACUGCGCUGCUAUAGAGAAGAAGAGGUAUACUGUGCUGCUUUAGGGAAGAUGUCUACUGCGCUGCUAUAGAGAAGAAGAGGUCUACUGUGCUGCUAUAGAGAAGAAGAGGUCUACUGCGCUGCUACAGAGAAUAAGAGGUCUACCGUGCUGCUAUAGAGAAGAAGAGGUCUACUGCGCUGCUACAGAGAAUAAGAGGUCUACUGCGCUGCUAUAGAGAAGAAGAGGUAUACUGUGCUGCUUUAGGGAAGAUG